This 253-nucleotide ribosomal RNA is filed under the name uncultured bacterium. Its description in RNAcentral is "partial 16S ribosomal RNA". It matches the Rfam family "Bacterial small subunit ribosomal RNA", at positions 524 to 776 of the family's 1533-position model. The record is from RNAcentral.
UACGUAGGCAGCAAGCGUUGUUCGGAAUUACUGGGCGUAAAGAGUGUGUAGGCGGUGCUCUAAGUUCGGUGUGAAAUCUCCCGGCUUAACUGGGAGCCUGCAUCCAAAACUGGAGAGCUUGGGUACUGGAGGGGAAAGCGGAAUUCCUGGUGUAGCGGUGAAAUGCGUAGAUAUCAGGAGGAACACCGGUGGCGAAGGCGGCUUUCUGGACAGUUACCGACGCUGAGGCACGAAAGCUAGGGGAGCAAACAGG